This 254-nucleotide ribosomal RNA is filed under the name uncultured bacterium. Its description in RNAcentral is "partial 16S ribosomal RNA". It matches the Rfam family "Bacterial small subunit ribosomal RNA", at positions 524 to 777 of the family's 1533-position model. The record is from RNAcentral.
UACGUAGGGUGCAAGCGUUGUCCGGAAUUAUUGGGCGUAAAGAGCUCGUAGGCGGUCUGUCGCGUCGGCUGUGAAAACCCGGAGCUCAACUCCGGGCCUGCAGUCGAUACGGGCAGACUGGAGUUCGGCAGGGGAGACUGGAAUUCCUGGUGUAGCGGUGAAAUGCGCAGAUAUCAGGAGGAACACCGGUGGCGAAGGCGGUUCUCUGGGCCUUACCUGACGCUGAGGAGCGAAAGCGUGGGGAGCGAACAGGA